Molecule: long non-coding RNA, 229 nt
Organism: Athene cunicularia (burrowing owl)
Lineage: Eukaryota; Metazoa; Chordata; Aves; Strigiformes; Strigidae
Exons: 2
Source: RefSeq, a predicted model, not a curated record
AAAGCGAGCUUACCCAAAGCCUGCUUCCUUCAAGUUAUCUGAGCUAGAACCAGCAGUUCUGACCCUCUGACAAAGUAGUUAUCUUUUCAUUUGUGCAAAGCAGGCUUUUAAGAAUCAUAAUAGUUUUCUGUCCCCCUUGAUCUUCAAGCACUGUCUAAAAUUCUAGAACCUUUCAAUCCAAAUCCAGAAAACACCAUCUCCUGAAAUACUGUCUGUAAGUUAUAAAAAA